Molecule: ribosomal RNA, 253 nt
Filed under: uncultured bacterium
Lineage: Bacteria
Description: partial 16S ribosomal RNA
Rfam family: Bacterial small subunit ribosomal RNA
Source: RNAcentral
UACGUAGGGAGCAAGCGUUGUCCGGAAUCAUUGGGCGUAAAGCGCGCGUAGGUGGCUUCGUAAGUCCGUUGUGAAAGUCAAAGGCUCAACCUUUGAAAGCCGAUGGAUACUGCGGAGCUAGAGUACGGAAGAGGAGAGUGGAAUUCCUGGUGUAGCGGUGAAAUGCGCAGAUAUCAGGAAGAACACCCGUGGCGAAGGCGGCUCUCUGGGACGGUACUGACGCUGAGACGCGAAAGCGUGGGGAGCAAACAGG